CCUACGGGAGGCAGCAGUAGGGAAUCUUCCACAAUGGGCGAAAGCCUGAUGGAGCAACGCCGCGUGGGUGAAGAAGGUCUUCGGAUCGUAAAACCCUGUUGUUAGAGAAGAAAGUGCGUGAGAGUAACUGUUCACGUUUCGACGGUAUCUAACCAGAAAGCCACGGCUAACUACGUGCCAGCAGCCGCGGUAAUACGUAGGUGGCAAGCGUUAUCCGGAUUUAUUGGGCGUAAAGGGAACGCAGGCGGUCUGUUAAGUCUGAUGUGAAAGCCUUCGGCUUAACCGGAGUAGUGCAUUGGAUACUGGGAGGCUUGAGUGCCGAAGAGGGGAGUAGAACUCCAGGUGUAGCGGUGAAAUGCGUAGAGAUAUGGAAGAACACCAGUGGCGAAGGCGUCUCUCUGGACGGUAACUGACGCUGAGGUUCGAAAGCGUGGGUAGCAAACAGGAUUAGAUACCCGAGUAGUC
This 465-nucleotide ribosomal RNA is filed under the name uncultured bacterium. RNAcentral describes it as "partial 16S ribosomal RNA". It matches the Rfam family "Bacterial small subunit ribosomal RNA", at positions 338 to 795 of the family's 1533-position model. The record is from RNAcentral.